Gorilla gorilla gorilla (western lowland gorilla) is the source of this 1962-nucleotide long non-coding RNA. RefSeq lists it as uncharacterized. The transcript is spliced from 3 exons. The record is from RefSeq and is a predicted model, not a curated record. Lineage: Eukaryota; Metazoa; Chordata; Mammalia; Primates; Hominidae.
CUUCCAUAGCUGUAAACUUCUGCUUGGCCCAGCAGGAGUGAGGGUAGAGGGGAGUAGGGCUCAAGGUGCCCUCGCUACCUAGUAGAUGGUAGGAGAGCAUGACCAAAAGCCAAAGAGCUGUUUACAUGACUGGGUUCUCCCUGUGGCCUUCUGAGAUUGCAGGAGAUGGAAAGGGGGAGACCGGAUCCUAGGGGAACCCAAUAUUCAGGUUUUCCUGGGUUCCUGAGAUGCAAGAUUUCCAAUUUUAACACAUGGGAAGUUGUAGGCAGACUGGGAUGAGUUGGUCACCUGGGUCUUCCACAGCUCCCAGUCUGAGAAAAUGAGACUCACCCAGUAAUAAGCAGAAGAUUUGGCUGGGUGAGGUGGCUCAUGCCUGUAAUCCCAGCACUUUGGGAGGCUGAGACAGGCAGAUCACAAGGUCAGGAGUUUGAGACCAGCCUGGCCAAGAUGGUGAAACCCCAUCUCUACUAAAGAUAUAAAAAUUAGCUGGGCGUGGUGGUGGGUGCCUGUAGUCCCAGCUACUUGGGAGGCUGAGGCAGGAAAAUCACUUGAACCCGGGAAGCGGAGGUUGCAGUGAGCCGAGAUCGUGCCACUGCACUCCAGCCUGAAGACAGAACAAGACUCCAUCUUAAAAAAAAAAAAUGCAGAAGAUACUAUGGAAUGGGCCAGGAGAAAAAGGAAGGAUCAGGGAUGGGAGAGACACGGUCUUCUGCUCAACUCAGGUACCAGCUGACACCCACCCAGUCCCUGGUGUUGCCUUCAGGAGCAGUGGCAAGAUGGAAGCUGGUUGGGGAAGGGGAUCCUAGAGCAGGGGGGAGGAGGAGAGAAUGGAAUGGCUGGACUUUGAGAUGAGAAGACAGUUGGAUGGGGAGGAGGCACCAUUUGCUGGAACUGAAGGGUUCUCAGUAGGGGCUUGAGGCAGGAUGUAUCUGUGAUAUCCGGACCUCUGGAGUCCCUUAAGCACAAGGAAGCAAGUGUGUGGCAGUGAAGACAUUCUGCCUUGGGCCCAAGCCCAAGACAGGUCUCCCUGAGCCCUGGGCAGACCAUCCGACCUAUGGUCAUUGGAAGGACCCACCUCCUCCCUAUCCCGGGCCUGUGUAAACGCCAGGAAGUCAGGUCCCUUUCUCCAUGCAGGCCCUGACUGGGGCAGUCAGCACCAUUAAGUUCUUCCUCUCUGAGGCUUUACUGGGUCAACACUUCGAGGCUGUGUAGUUGGAGGGCAGGGAGCCUGAGCCAGGAGACGUCUUCCUGUUCAGGCUGAUGCCCCCACCUAACGCUGGUGCGGGGCCCACGUGGGCAUAUACUGUGGCCAUGGAGAGAUCAUCCACUUUGAGGGUGAGUGCCUCCAGCAGAAACACAGGCCCAAGUCUGCGGAGAGGCUGCCCAGCCAAGCCACGCCCCACCAGUGAGCUGGCUACUCGGGGAUAAAGACUGAAGUCCCAGGCUGGGGGUACGUUUCUCUGAAAAUAGGGUUUGGGCACUCAGGGUCCCUGAGGUCUCGGGAAAUGGGGGUGCGGGAUCACAGGGCAUAGGACCUAAGCCUGGCUCUGAUCCGCACCCCUCUGGCGAUCCCCGCAGGCAAGAACUCAGGAGGCUGUGGGCUCCUGGGAAGUUUCUGGGCUCCUGGAAAGGCAUCGUAUCCAAACAGGGGCAGCGCCCGCCGCUGCGCUCCUGCUGGCGCGUGCUGCGCAGAGUGAGCGAAGCGAUGGACGCGGACCCACCAUCCUAUCACUCCAUGCGCAGAAACUGUGUGCACUUUGCACUGUGUCUGCUCGUCCCAGGUCCCAGCCUGGACCCCCGGCAAAUGGACGGGAGCUCCAGCAGCUCGGUGUCAGUGGACGUGGAUGUGUCCCCGGAUUAAGCAUGACCUCGGCCCUCCUGGAUGGACGUGGAGGCUUCAGAAAGAUUCAUUAAACUACUUUCCAAAGCUUAAUUAGAUGUUCACCGUCCUCUGUAUCCUGU